Parus major (Great Tit) is the source of this 476-nucleotide long non-coding RNA. RefSeq lists it as uncharacterized. The transcript has 2 exons. NCBI's taxonomy places the organism in Eukaryota, Metazoa, Chordata, Aves, Passeriformes, Paridae. The record is from RefSeq and is a predicted model, not a curated record.
GCGGGCGAAGGGGAUCUCCCACCCCUGCGGGGCCCCCGCGCCGCCUGCGCGCCGCUUCCCAGCAAAUACGAGUAAAACACAACCCCAGCCUUUGGAGGAUGUGUGACAUGGAGGAGGAGGCCUGGAGCCAGUGACCCUGAGAUCCUCAGCUGGAUCGUGCCAGAUGCAACAGGAGGCUGGAAAACCUCAGGAAUUCACUUGGACCACAUUCAACUCCCUUCCUGUGCAGUCUGACAAAGCCUUAAACAUCAGCAGGGCUGGGGACAGGUACAGGCACUGUCAUCACGAGCAGGGAUGGAGCUGGUGUGCUCCUUCAAACAACUCUGAGGUGCUGCUUUUAUUUCUCCCCCACUGAUGAGGUGCAGAACUAAGAGCCUGGCAGCCCUGGAAAUGGAAAGUUCCUGAUGUAAGCAGAGUUUUCAUGAUAGCAGUGGGCACUGAGUCUGUAACAAGCUCUGUGGCUGGCAGCUUGAGGA